AAGUCGAACGAGUUCUCGUUGAUGAUCGGUGCUUGCACCGAGAUUCAACAUAGAACGAGUGGCGGACGGGUGAGUAACACGUGGGUAACCUGCCCUUAAGUGGGGGAUAACAUUUGGAAACAGAUGCUAAUACCGCAUAGAUCCAAGAACCGCAUGGUUCUUGGCUGAAAGAUGGCGUAAGCUAUCGCUUUUGGAUGGACCCGCGGCGUAUUAGCUAGUUGGUGAGGUAAUGGCUCACCAAGGCGAUGAUACGUAGCCGAACUGAGAGGUUGAUCGGCCACAUUGGGACUGAGACACGGCCCAAACUCCUACGGGAGGCAGCAGUAGGGAAUCUUCCACAAUGGACGCAAGUCUGAUGGAGCAACGCCGCGUGAGUGAAGAAGGCUUUCGGGUCGUAAAACUCUGUUGUUGGAGAAGAAUGGUCGGCGGAGUAACUGUUGUCGGCGUGACGGUAUCCAACCAGAAAGCCACGGCUAACUACGUGCCAGCAGCCGCGGUAAUACGUAGGUGGCAAGCGUUAUCCGGAUUUAUUGGGCGUAAAGCGAGCGCAGGCGGUUUUUUAAGUCUGAUGUGAAAGCCCUCGGCUUAACCGAGGA
RNAcentral lists this ribosomal RNA (596 nucleotides) under uncultured bacterium. Its description in RNAcentral is "bacterial SSU rRNA". It matches the Rfam family "Bacterial small subunit ribosomal RNA", at positions 59 to 619 of the family's 1533-position model. The record is from RNAcentral.